UGGGGAAUAUUGCACAAUGGGCGCAAGCCUGAUGCAGCAACGCCGCGUGAGGGACGACGGCCUUCGGGUUGUAAACCUCUUUUAGCAGGGAAGAAGCGCAAGUGACGGUACCUGCAGAAAAAGCACCGGCUAACUACGUGCCAGCAGCCGCGGUAAUACGUAGGGUGCAAGCGUUGUCCGGAAUUAUUGGGCGUAAAGAGCUCGUAGGCGGUUUGUCGCGUCUGCUGUGAAAACCCGAGGCUCAACCUCGGGCCUGCAGUGGGUACGGGCAGACUAGAGUGCGGUAGGGGAGAUUGGAAUUCCUGGUGUAGCGGUGGAAUGCGCAGAUAUCAGGAGGAACACCAAUGGCGAAGGCAGAUCUCUGGGCCGUAACUGACGCUGAGGAGCGAAAGCGUGGGGAGCGAACA
This 407-nucleotide ribosomal RNA is filed under the name uncultured Microbacteriaceae bacterium. Its description in RNAcentral is "partial 16S ribosomal RNA". It matches the Rfam family "Bacterial small subunit ribosomal RNA", at positions 355 to 774 of the family's 1533-position model. The record is from RNAcentral. Lineage: Bacteria; Bacillati; Actinomycetota; Actinomycetes; Micrococcales; Microbacteriaceae.